AGCUCCAAUAGCGUAUAUUAAUGUUGUUGUGGUUAAAAAGCUCGUAGUUGGAUAUCAUCAGUAAGUUUUCUGUUCAACUUGUGUUGUAAUAGGAAGUCUGACUGUCUGUCUGUUCAUUCUUAUCGGUGACUUUAAUCAGUUGUCGUUCUAAAGGAAGAACAAUUUUACUUUGAAAAAAUUAGGGUGCUCAAAGCAAGUUUAUCGCUUGAAUAGUUGUGCAUGGAAUAAUAGAAAAGGAAUUUGAUCUUUUUGUGUUGGUCUUAAAGAUAAAGUUAAUGAUAAAUGGGGACAGCCGGGGGCGUAUGUAUUCAGCCGACAGAGGUGAAAUUCUUGGACCGGCUGAAGACAAACUACUGCGAAAGCAUUCGCCAAGAGUGUUUUCAUUA
This 386-nucleotide ribosomal RNA is filed under the name Acartia sp. RNAcentral's name for it is "partial small subunit ribosomal RNA". It matches the Rfam family "Eukaryotic small subunit ribosomal RNA", at positions 587 to 975 of the family's 1831-position model. Lineage: Eukaryota; Metazoa; Arthropoda; Copepoda; Calanoida; Acartiidae. The record is from RNAcentral.